GGAGUAAACAGCCACUUUAGUCCCUGAAAGUGUCAGUCACUGUCAUAGUAGUCCCUGAAUCACCAAAAAAUAUUUUAAAGUCCCUGAUUCGAGCAUCUGUUAGUCAAAAUGGUCCCUUGCGUUAAAUUAACGUUAACUCUGAUGACGUGUCCUCUUUUUUUGCCACAUCACAUGCUUAUGUGUUAUUUUCUUUCUUAUAUGUGAAUUUCAUGGUGCUUAAGGACUAAAAUGAAUACAAUGUGUCUUCUUCAACCCAAAAACUUAUACAAAACUCAGAAAACUAUUCCCCUUCAACCUAAAAAUUGAUACCAAAUCCAUAAAUUUAUUCAUCUUCAUCCAAAAAUUUAUCCCUCUACUUAUCCUCCCUUCUUGUUCUACAUGGAAUCAACCUUAAAACUCAUUGAGGACAAACCCAUUUCACCAUAUGAUUAAACUUCUCACUCUUAAAAAUUAGGGUUUUCAACAAAAAUUAGGGAUUUUUUAUUUUGAAGCAUGAAUUGAACAAAAUAAAGCAAUAGAAGAUUUGAUUGGAAGUAGAAAAUGGAAGAAGAUGAUGAUGUGAUGAUGGGUUGGUGAGGGAGAGUGCAGAAAGAGGAUGAAGAUUUGGGUAUAAUGUUUGAUGGAGGUUUGUGAGGGAGAUUGGAGAAGAGGAUGAAAGAAUUGUGUUUAUUCAUUUUUUUCCAAGAAGAUGAGAUCAUGAUUUUAUUCAUUUUGGUCCCUAUCGGUAGUUCACUUUCAUUUUGGUCCUCGCGUACGUGGGCUUAGUUUUUGAAUCAGAUUUGACAAGUCAUGGUCCAAUUAGUCAACAACUAGUACAGGUCAUGAA
This 826-nucleotide long non-coding RNA is filed under the name Trifolium pratense (red clover). Its description in RNAcentral is "long non-coding RNA (TPRA_LNC001285)". Lineage: Eukaryota; Viridiplantae; Streptophyta; Magnoliopsida; Fabales; Fabaceae. The record is from RNAcentral.